GUGCUGGUUUCAUAGAAUAAAAGAGAAUGCCGACUAGCUUUACGAGUGACACAGUGACACUAAGGUGGCGUUUGAUAACUGUGUAACAGGACAUCUCCCUCUUCGUCGAGCCUCCCUUCCCUCCGUUCUCUCUCUCUCACCCCCUGCGAGCCAGAGCACUAACCUCUCAAUCAGUGAAAUUACCAGCACCACUUCCAGCUUUCAUCUUGCCAAUUUUCACCUGCAUCCCACAAUCCAGAAAAGUCAGCGGCAGGGGUGAUUCCCAAGGAGACUGUAGUGAAAGUUAUCAAACACCACCUAAGCAUUCAUAGAGCGUUUAGAGAGUACAAGGAUCACAGAUCGUAACAGCAAAGAGAGAGAGAGAUCCCAACAUGGCCACCGGCAUGCCAUGGAAACUAGCGAGAACGCUAACUCCAUUCUCACACUCUCUCUCCUCUCUCUACUUCCAAAGAGCAACAGUAAGCGGAACAGCAAAGGGCAAAGUUAAGGCCAAACCAGGCCAACCCCUCAAACGCGCCAAAAUCCCUAAGAAAACGACCUCCAAACCCCAAUCCCAAACCAAAGGAAGAGGAGGUGAAGCAGCUGAGAGAAUCAACAAAAUGGUGGAUUCAUGCCUUGAUGCCCCAACCCCAAUUCGGUUUCUCUCUCCUAAGGAGAGGCAAAGAGAGGCAGAGAGAGAAAAACUGGGGCUUAUAAGCAAGGAGAGACAGAGAGAGAUAGAAAUGGCAAAACAAAGGAGAAAGGAAAUGAAAGCAGAGAUGACCAUGGCUUUGGGGACUCCUGGUUUGGACCUCAUAUCUCUAGGGCUUGUUGAUGAGAAGGAUAUACUAAAGUAUGAGCUCACUGUUGAAGAUGGGAUAAGAUUGGCCAAAGAGUACAGUAGGCUUUUGAUGAGGAGGCAUAGGGCGAGGCAAGCGGCUGAGAGUACAUUGCUUAGGUUGAAGAAGGAAGCAAUUGAAGCUUUGCCCGAGCAUUUGAGAGAGGCAGCUCUGGUUCCUGAUCUUACCCCUUUUCCAGCGAAUAGGUUCAUGGCUACCCUCACUCCACCAAUUGAGGGUUACAUUGAGAAGGUGAAGGAGGCGGCAAAGAAGCUUAUGGGGAAGGAGAAGCUCAGGUGAUAAAGGAAUCAGGCUUGAGCUUCAUGUUAGUUGUUGACAAUUGCAACUCUAUGCAACAAGUUUGAUACCUACUGCUGAACCAACCAAAAACAUGUUGAUACGUGGAUGUGGGAAGCGUCAUUUGCUAAACAAUUUUGACCAGGCAGCUUGAUACAAUGAGAAGUCAUUGUAGAGGAUAUAUUAGCAUUGCAAUUUCUGAUAUUUAUCGGCAUGGAAAAUCUUCUGUGCAAGGACAAGGUUGAUACAGAAGUAGCGGCAUGGUUUCCGACUAUGUUUCAUGAACUGUCGAUUCUCUAAAUGGCUUCUGACUAUACUUUCAUGGACUCUUCGAUUUCACUUGAUUCAACUUGUGUACAAGUCAUUGUUUGUCUUCAAUAAGAGUACAAUACAUCAAGAAGUCCCAUUCUGGUCUUUUGUUUUGUUUUCAUGUCUUUGCAUCUAUAGUUUUAUUUAUUUGUUUAUUUAUGUGCAGUGACAUGCUGCACAUCCCUGUGAUUCUCUUUAACAAUUGUAUGCUUUUCUUUGUGCAUUUCUAGUAAACCAGCUUGUUAGAAUUCAGUAGCUUUCAGCAUCUUCACUCCAGGGGUAAUGGGGCAUGACAGCUGAAACACCAACAUUCAAGGUUCAUCCUCCAGCUUAGUCAUCCAAAGGGGUCAAAAAGUGGGGAACUGCCGAAAUUUUACGUAUGAAGUGUCGAAAAACACUACCCUUUCGAAGCCCUGCCCAACUCACACAACAUUGAGCCCCCACCGUUGCCCUUCCUCCUCUUCCUCUUUCUUUGUUUAAAAUUCUCACCGAUUCUCUAACCCUUUUAUCACUUUCUAGGCCAGCUUUUCCUAGUCAUUUGUAUGAAUUGUGCUGCUUUUAGUAUGUUCUGCCGUGGUUUUAUGAUAAUGAUUCUGGUCA
Molecule: RNA transcript, 2024 nt
Organism: Amborella trichopoda
Lineage: Eukaryota; Viridiplantae; Streptophyta; Magnoliopsida; Amborellales; Amborellaceae
Source: RefSeq, a predicted model, not a curated record